Molecule: long non-coding RNA, 1094 nt
Filed under: Daphnia magna
Lineage: Eukaryota; Metazoa; Arthropoda; Branchiopoda; Diplostraca; Daphniidae
Description: uncharacterized LOC116926743, transcript variant X2
Source: RNAcentral
UCUAGCAGUCUAGCUGCAUCCAGCCAGAUACUACAUACUACUAGGUGUACUAGUAGGACCCGAAACAAAAGUUUUGACAAGUACGUACUGUCAUAUUUCGGUAGCAGGUUUUCACUAAAUACCAAAAAGACGACGAAAUCUAAGAGAGUUGUCGCAGUUCCCCACCAGACGACACUAGCGGUAUAGGAGAACCGCGAGAGGGAAAAAGGCGCACGAUUAUGCGAUACAUCGCACUUGUGCAGUCAGACAUGGGUUGUUGUCUUUUUGUCACUAUGGGUGCAUUAUAGCGAAGUCGCCAAUCUGACCUGUAGAAUUGGAAACAUUUUGUCAUCAUCCUGGGACUUGAAUUGUCAGCAUUUGGCAAAGAAUGGGAAAACUGUGUGUAUUGUUGGAGCAUUGGGCCGCAGCCCACAUCCAGCAUCAAAAUGUUUUGGGAGUGGAGCAUUUAAGUUAAACUAAGGGGUUUCACCUAGAACAGCCAAUCUGACCUGUAGAAUUGGAAACAUUUUGUUAUCAUCCUGGGACUUGAAUUGUCAGCAUUUGGCAAAGAAUGGGAAAGCUGCAUGUAUUGCCCACACUUGUAUUUGGAUUUCUUGGAUGCUCAAUUUUGCUACAGGAAGUUUUCGCUAAUUCAUUCAACCCUUUCUGUACCUACUUCCAGUUGGAGCAUUGAGCUGCAGCCCACAUCCAGCAUCAAAAUGUUGUGGGAGUGGAGUAUUUAAGUUAAACUACCUUCUUGAUGUGCUAUUAGACUUCUUUGUUCCUCUCUGUUAAAGGCCAAAUACCUUCACAGUAAAUGAAUGUGUCAAGCUUCUUUCUAAGGUUUUUAGAAAAAGAAAAAAAAAAAUUUUGUUGUGUCGCAUAGAUUGAAACUUAACCCUUUUCCGCAGUAUCCUGAAAUACUCACAAUAUGAAUUCCCUUUUGACAAGUUUUCUCUGGUCAAAGUACCAUCAUAUACGAUUGUUUUCUUGUUUUGAAGGUAAACUUGAACACAACAGGCAGUUAAGUUUAUCAAAAGUCUUUCCUACCAGUGGCGUUUCAAUUGUGAACAGUUUACAAAAUAUAUCGAUAGAAUGAUUUUCAAAAAUUUGAA